Molecule: ribosomal RNA, 485 nt
Filed under: Tropidonophis multiscutellatus
Lineage: Eukaryota; Metazoa; Chordata; Lepidosauria; Squamata; Natricidae
Description: partial large subunit ribosomal RNA
Rfam family: Bacterial large subunit ribosomal RNA
Source: RNAcentral
AACAAGUAUUAAAGGCAACGCCUGCCCAGUGAACAAUUAAACGGCCGCGGUACCCUAACCGUGCAAAGGUAGCAUAAUCAUUUGUCUAUUAACUGUAGACCUGUAUGAAAGGCAAAAUGAGGGUUUAACUGUCUCUUAUAAUAAAUCUAUUAAACUGAUCUCCCAGUAAAAAAGCUGGGAUACCACCAUAAGACCAGAAGACCCUGUGAAGCUUUAACUAAACUAUUAAACCCAAUAAUAGCUACUUUAGGUUGGGGCGACCUUGGAAAUAAAAAGAACUUCCAAACAAAUACACUAACACAGGCCAACAUGCCAAUAAAUGACCCAGUAAAACUGAUAACUGAACAAAGUUACUCCAGGGAUAACAGCGCUAUCUUCUUCAAGAGCCCAUAUCAAAAAGAAGGUUUACGACCUCGAUGUUGGAUCAGGACAUCCUAAUGGUGCAACCGCUAUUAAGGGUUCGUUUGUUCAACGAUUAAUGUCCU